This 251-nucleotide ribosomal RNA is filed under the name uncultured bacterium. RNAcentral's name for it is "partial 16S ribosomal RNA". It matches the Rfam family "Bacterial small subunit ribosomal RNA", at positions 1250 to 1500 of the family's 1533-position model. The record is from RNAcentral.
CAAAGUACGUGAGGCGGAGCAAAUCACAAAACACAGUCUCAGUUCAGAUUGUAGGCUGAAACUCGCCUAUAUGAAGUCGGAAUUGCUAGUAAUCGCGGAUCAGCAUGCCGCGGUGAAUACGUUCCCGGGCCUUGUACACACCGCCCGUCACACCAUGAGAGUCGAUAACACCCGAAGCCUGUAGUCUAACCUUAGGGGGGACGCAGUCGAAGGUGGGAUUGAUAAUUAGGGUGAAGUCGUAACAAGGUACC